RNAcentral lists this transfer RNA (69 nucleotides) under Bos taurus (domestic cattle). It matches the Rfam family "tRNA". From Rfam's summary of the family: Transfer RNA (tRNA) molecules are approximately 80 nucleotides in length. Their secondary structure includes four short double-helical elements and three loops (D, anti-codon, and T loops). The record is from Rfam by way of RNAcentral. Lineage: Eukaryota; Metazoa; Chordata; Mammalia; Artiodactyla; Bovidae. RNAcentral also lists the same sequence under 5 other names.
CCUGAUAGCUCAGUUGGUAAAGAAUCUGCCUGCAAUGCAGAAGGCCCUGGUUCAAUUCCUGGAUCAGGA